Molecule: ribosomal RNA, 484 nt
Filed under: uncultured bacterium
Lineage: Bacteria
Description: partial 16S ribosomal RNA
Rfam family: Bacterial small subunit ribosomal RNA
Source: RNAcentral
AUUGAACGCUGGCGGCAGGCCUAACACAUGCAAGUCGAGCGGAUGAAGGGAGCUUGCUCCUGGAUUCCGCGGCGGACGGGUGAGUAAUGCCUAGGAAUCUGCCUGCUAGUGGGUGAUAACGUCCGGAAACGGGCGCUAAUACCGCAUACGUCCUGAGGGAGAUAGUGGGUGGUCUUCGGACCUCACGCUAUCAGAUGAGCCUAGGUCGGAGUAGCUAGUUGGUGGGGUUAAGGGCUACCAAGCCGACGAUCCGUAACUGGUCGGAUAGGAUGAUCAGCCACAUGGGAGCGGGAACAGCGUCAAGGCGCCUACGAGAGGCAGCAGUGGGGAAUGUUGGGCAGUAGGCGGAAGCAUGGUCCAGCCGUGCCGCGUGUGUGAAGAAAGUGUUCGGAUUGGAAAGCACGUUAAGUUGGGGGGAAGGGCAGUAAGUUAAUACCUUGCUGUUUUGACGUUACCAGCAGAAUAAGCACCGGCUAACUUCGUG